UUUUUUUUUUUUCCUUAUACCUAUGACUGGAACCAUCCAUAUUAGCAAUCAGUUAAACUCACCCUAUUCAAAAUCGAGUUCAGAUAAAAUUAUGGAUACCUAUAUUCACCCUAUUCAAAAUCGGGUUCAGAUAAAAUUAUGAAUACCUAUAUCCAUUCACAUUCCUAAUCAAUAAUAGUAAUUUUGAAAUAAAUGAAUGAUUUAAUUAUUUUAUUCUAUUUAAUCCAAAAUAAAUAACAUAACUAUAUACAUAUUUUUUUGUCGAAUGAAAAAAAGAAGAGAGUAUAUAUUGUAUUUUAAUUUUUUUUAGGUAUUUAAGACAGAUAAGAAUAUUGAGAAUGAUUUGGUUUAAAAAAAAGUUGUUAAGCUUUAAAAAUUAAAGAAAGAUCGGAAAAGUCCUUAACUUUUUUUUUCAUUUAAAUUUGUAUACAUAGUUAUUUAUUUGCUAAAAAAUAAAUAGAGCCAUUAUAUUUGAUGAAAUCGUCAACAAAUUUGAUAAAAUUAUCAUUUUUUAUACAUUAAAAUUAGUUACUGUUUAGAAAAACUAAAAAUUAAUGGGAUGUCAAUUAAAAAAAUGAAAGUUGAGGGAGAGCUGUUUAAAAAUGGCAUAUAGUUGAGGGGAUCUUCAUACAUAUUUAACAUAAGAGAUAGCUGAGGGUAAGCUAGUCAUUUUAAAAGUUAACUCAUCUUUAGCCAUAUGGUAAAUCUAACGUCAACUAAACUAACGGUAGAAAUAUUGGUAAUAAUUUUUUAUAUUUAUAGAAGCAUAUAUGAUAUUUUAGACUUAAUUUGGAACGGAUGUGUAUGAAAUUGCCCCAAUAAAUAACGUAUAAAAUAAUUAUCGCAUAAAACUUU
Molecule: long non-coding RNA, 855 nt
Filed under: Ananas comosus (pineapple)
Lineage: Eukaryota; Viridiplantae; Streptophyta; Magnoliopsida; Poales; Bromeliaceae
Description: long non-coding RNA (ACOM_LNC033159)
Source: RNAcentral